UGGGGAAUAUUGCACAAUGGGCGCAAGCCUGAUGCAGCCAUGCCGCGUGUGUGAAGAAGGCCUUCGGGUUGUAAAGCACUUUCAGCGAGGAGGAAGGUGGUGAGCUUAAUACGCUCAUCAAUUGACGUUACUCGCAGAAGAAGCACCGGCUAACUCCGUGCCAGCAGCCGCGGUAAUACGGAGGGUGCAAGCGUUAAUCGGAAUUACUGGGCGUAAAGCGCACGCAGGCGGUUUGUUAAGUCAGAUGUGAAAUCCCCGGGCUCAACCUGGGAACUGCACUUGAAACUGGCAAGCUAGAGUCUCGUAGAGGGGGGUAGAAUUCCAGGUGUAGCGGUGAAAUGCGUAGAGAUCUGGAGGAAUACCGGUGGCGAAGGCGGCCCCCCUGGACGAAGACUGACGCUCAGGUGCGAAAGCGUGGGGCAGCAAACAGGAUUAGAUACCCUGGUAGUCCACGCUGUAAACGAUGUCGAUUUUGGAGGUUGUGCCCCUUGAGGCGUGGCUUCCGGAGCUAACGCGUUAAAUCGACCGCCUGGGGAGUACGGCCNCAAGGUUAAAACUCAAAUGAAUUGC
This 570-nucleotide ribosomal RNA is filed under the name uncultured bacterium. RNAcentral's name for it is "partial 16S ribosomal RNA". It matches the Rfam family "Bacterial small subunit ribosomal RNA", at positions 355 to 913 of the family's 1533-position model. The record is from RNAcentral.